AGUGAACGCUGGCGGUAGGCCUAACACAUGCAAGUCGAACGGCAGCACAGUAAGAGCUUGCUCUUACGGGUGGCGAGUGGCGGACGGGUGAGGAAUACAUCGGAAUCUACUUUUUCGUGGGGGAUAACGUAGGGAAACUUACGCUAAUACCGCAUACGACCUACGGGUGAAAGCAGGGGAUCUUCGGUCCUUGCGCGAUUGAAUGAGCCGAUGUCGGAUUAGCUAGUUGGCGGGGUAAAGGCCCACCAAGGCGACGAUCCGUAGCUGGUCUGAGAGGAUGAUCAGCCACACUGGAACUGAGACACGGUCCAGACUCCUACGGGAGGCAGCAGUGGGGAAUAUUGGACAAUGGGCGCAAGCCUGAUCCAGCCAUACCGCGUGGGUGAUGAAGGCCUUCGGGUUGUAAAGCCCUUUUGUUGGGAAAGAAAAGCAGCAGGUUAAUACCCCGCUGUUCUGACGGUACCCAAAGAAUAAGCACCGGCUAACUUCGUG
RNAcentral lists this ribosomal RNA (492 nucleotides) under uncultured bacterium. Its description in RNAcentral is "partial 16S ribosomal RNA". It matches the Rfam family "Bacterial small subunit ribosomal RNA", at positions 29 to 507 of the family's 1533-position model. The record is from RNAcentral.